UACGUAGGGGGCAAGCGUUGUCCGGAAUCAUUGGGCGUAAAGCGCGUGUAGGCGGUUCGGGAAGUCGGCUGUGAAAGUCCAGGGCUCAACCCUGGGAUGCCGGUCGAUACUGCCGGACUAGAGUUCGGAAGAGGCGAGUGGAAUUCCCGGUGUAGCGGUGAAAUGCGCAGAUAUCGGGAGGAACACCAAUGGCGAAGGCAGCUCGCUGGGACGUUACUGACGCUGAGACGCGAAAGCGUGGGGAGCAAACAGG
This 253-nucleotide ribosomal RNA is filed under the name uncultured bacterium. Its description in RNAcentral is "partial 16S ribosomal RNA". It matches the Rfam family "Bacterial small subunit ribosomal RNA", at positions 524 to 776 of the family's 1533-position model. The record is from RNAcentral.